RNAcentral lists this long non-coding RNA (601 nucleotides) under Rattus norvegicus (Norway rat). Its description in RNAcentral is "long non-coding RNA NONRATT006229". The record is from RNAcentral. Lineage: Eukaryota; Metazoa; Chordata; Mammalia; Rodentia; Muridae.
CGUAGAUGUGUCCGUAGGUAGUGCGCGCCCUAAAGUCUUUUUCUCUGCAUUUGACCAGCUCUGGAUCUCCGUAAUAGUCUCCAUCUGCUGCAAAAUGAGGAUUAUUUGAUGAGGUGUGAGAGAUCCACGGUCAGGCCUCAAUGAUAUGUUCAACUCUUGGGCCAAAGGCGUUCCUCCCAGGACGUCCAGAUUAUCCUGUUGUGUAUUUCUUCUCCGGUGGCCUGACGAGGUGCUCCUUGCCUUCGGUGAAUACAGAAGGCCACCAAAGGAGGGAGAAUCUAAGCAACACAGCCAUGUCUGAAGCCUGAAGGUCUCGGCAAACUCGCUGACGUGCCAGGCUGCUGGGCAGUCACCAUGCAUCCCUCUGGUUCCAUAAUUACACCUCCUUAUGCUGGUCCUUAAAUCCAAGCAGGCCCAUGCCAUCCCCCAUGAUGUGCACACAACCAUUAGUAACCUUCACCAGAGUCACUACUCAAAAACCCCGGCUCUCAUCAAGUUGGAAGUGACCUAUUCUAACCUUUCGCCUUCUUAUUUCACCCCGUUUUUUUUUUCCUUUUACGUCAUCCCCGAAGGAGAGGGUGAAUGCAUGUUUUGGAUCACC